GCGACCGCACCGCAUCGGAAACACCGGUUCUCGUCUGACCAUCGAAGUUGAGCAUAGUCGGGCCCGGUUAGCACAUGCAUGGGUGACCGGCUGGGAAUAUCGGGUUUUGCGACCGUCC
This 118-nucleotide ribosomal RNA is filed under the name Fasciola hepatica (liver fluke). The record is from RNAcentral. Lineage: Eukaryota; Metazoa; Platyhelminthes; Trematoda; Plagiorchiida; Fasciolidae.